Molecule: ribosomal RNA, 459 nt
Filed under: uncultured bacterium
Lineage: Bacteria
Description: partial 16S ribosomal RNA
Rfam family: Bacterial small subunit ribosomal RNA
Source: RNAcentral
CCUACGGGGGGCAGCAGUGGGGGAUAUUGCACAAUGGGGGAAACCCUGAUGCAGCGACGCCGCGUGUGGGAAGACGGUCCUCUGGAUUGUAAACCUCUUUUGUCGGGGAGCAAAAGACGCCACGCGUGGCGUUCCGAGAGUACCCGAAGAAAAAGCAUCGGCUAACUCCGUGCCAGCAGCCGCGGUAAUACGGAGGAUGCGAGCGUUAUCCGGAUUUAUUGGGUUUAAAGGGUGCGCAGGCGGAAGAUCAAGUCAGCGGUAAAAUUGAGAGGCUCAACCUCUUCGAGCCGUUGAAACUGGUUUUCUUGAGUGAGUGAGAAGUAUGCGGAAUGCGUGGUGUAGCGGUGAAAUGCAUAGAUAUCGCGCAGAACUCCGAUUGCGAAGGCAGCGUACCGGCGCCAGACUGACGCUGAGGCACGAAAGCGUGGGGAUCGAACAGGAUUAGAUACCCGGGUAGUC